GGAUCAAUAUAUCGGUCAUGCUUAGGUAUGUACUGGUAUUAUUGAUUUCUCCCUUCUGAAGAACCAUGAUGUCAUUAAUUUGAUGUCGUGGGGAAUCAGGACUGUUACUUUGAAAAAAUUAGAGUGUUUAAAGCAGGCUUUCGCUUGAAUACAUUAGCAUGGAAUAAUGAAAUAGGACGUUUGAUUCUAUUUUGUUGGUUUCUAGGAUCGACGUA
RNAcentral lists this ribosomal RNA (215 nucleotides) under uncultured Glomus. Its description in RNAcentral is "partial 18S ribosomal RNA". The stretch from base 43 to 215 matches the Rfam family "Eukaryotic small subunit ribosomal RNA", at positions 690 to 864 of the family's 1831-position model. Lineage: Eukaryota; Fungi; Glomeromycota; Glomeromycetes; Glomerales; Glomeraceae. The record is from RNAcentral.